Molecule: ribosomal RNA, 523 nt
Filed under: uncultured bacterium
Lineage: Bacteria
Description: partial 16S ribosomal RNA
Rfam family: Bacterial small subunit ribosomal RNA
Source: RNAcentral
UGGGGAAUUUUGGACAAUGGGCGAAAGCCUGAUCCAGCAAUGCCGCGUGUGUGAAGAAGGCCUUCGGUUGUAAAGCACUUUUGUCCGGAAAGAAAUCCUUGGCUCUAAUACAGUCGGGGGAUGACGGUACCGGAAGAAUAAGCACCGGCUAACUACGUGCCAGCAGCCGCGGUAAUACGUAGGGUGCAAGCGUUAAUCGGAAUUACUGGGCGUAAAGCGUGCGCAGGCGGUUUGCUAAGACCGGUNUGAAAUCCCCGGGCUCAACCUGGGAACUGCAUUGGUGACUGGCAGGCUAGAGUAUGGCAGAGGGGGGUAGAAUUCCACGUGUAGCAGUGAAAUGCGUAGAGAUGUGGAGGAAUACCGAUGGCGAAGGCAGCCCCCUGGGCCAAUACUGACGCUCAUGCACGAAAGCGUGGGGAGCAAACAGGAUUAGAUACCCUGGUAGUCCACGCCCUAAAACGAUGUCAACUAGUUGUUGGGGAUUCAUUCUAGUAACGUAGCUAACGCGUGAAGUUGACCGCCU